UACGUAGGGACCAAGCGUUGUUCGGAUUUACUGGGCGUAAAGGGCGCGUAGGCGGCGUGACAAGUCACUUGUGAAAUCUCUGGGCUUAACCCAGAACGGCCAAGUGAAACUGUUGCGCUAGAGUGCAGAAGGGGCAAUCGGAAUUCUCGGUGUAGCGGUGAAAUGCGUAGAUAUCGAGAGGAACACCUGAGGUGAAGACGGGUUGCUGGGCUGACACUGACGCUGAGGCGCGAAAGCCAGGGGAGCAAACGGG
This 253-nucleotide ribosomal RNA is filed under the name uncultured bacterium. RNAcentral describes it as "partial 16S ribosomal RNA". It matches the Rfam family "Bacterial small subunit ribosomal RNA", at positions 524 to 776 of the family's 1533-position model. The record is from RNAcentral.